CCUACGGGGGGCAGCAGUCGAGAAUCAUUCACAAUGGGGGAAACCCUGAUGCUGCGACGCCGCGUGGGGGAAUGAAGGUCUUCGGAUGGUAAACCCCUGUCAUGUGGGAGCAAAUUAAAAAGAUAGUACCACAAGAGGAAGAGACGGCUAACUCUGUGCCAGCAGCCGCGGUAAUACAGAGGUCUCAAGCGUUGUUCGGAAUCACUGGGCGUAAAGCGUGCGUAGGCGGUUUCGUAAGUCGUGUGUGAAAGGCGCGGGCUCAACCCGCGGACGGCACAUGAUACUGCGAGACUAGAGUAAUGGAGGGGGAAGCGGAAUUCGCGGUGUAGCAGUGAAAUGCGUAGAUAUCGAGAGGAACACUCGUGGCGAAGGCGGGUUCCUGGACAUUAACUGACGCUGAGGCACGAAGGCCAGGGGAGCGAAAGGGAUUAGAUACCCUAGUAGUC
RNAcentral lists this ribosomal RNA (446 nucleotides) under uncultured bacterium. RNAcentral describes it as "partial 16S ribosomal RNA". It matches the Rfam family "Bacterial small subunit ribosomal RNA", at positions 338 to 795 of the family's 1533-position model. The record is from RNAcentral.